UAAAAAUAGAAUGGUUCAUUUUUCAAUUUAAAAAAAUUACUUUCAUAUAAAAAAAUAGUUAAAUAUAGUAAUAUAAAGCUACUUUUAUAACUAAAGAAUCAUCGUUAUUCAGUAUUAUAUUGGAAUUAAACAAAAUAAGCACGAUCUUGAAAAAAUGUCUUGACUUUAACAAAAAAAAUCCCGGAAAAUUUCAGUUUGUCCAGGUAGAACAGAUAUCCGGUCUUUAAAUUUCUUUUGUUUUAAUAGAAAAUGAUUUAUAUAUUUUUUUAAAAUUUAAAUCUAAGCUUCUUGGCUUUAAAUUUCAGGACCUUUUAAUUAACAAUUUUUAAUUGCGAUCCUAUCCUAUGCAUUUGAAAAUAUGUAAUUAUUGCAGAAAUGAGGAAAAAAAUCAUCUUCUCCGAAGAUGAUAUAUUUUUAUCUAGUCUGUUAAAUAGAAUAAUUUUAAGAAACUAAGAAUCGCAAGAAAUGUGAAUUCACGUGCCAAAGUAUUAAAUAGCAGAACCUGAUUGUAUUGCUCAAAGAAUUCAAUCAAGGGUCUUAGGGAUAAAAUAUAGAAUUUCCUUAAACAGGAAAUUCCUAGAUAGAUCAAAUAUUGUACAUAAAAUUAACAACAAAAAACUUGAAAUAAGUUCAAAUAAUCUGAAAGUUGUAAGGCUCUCUUGCCUCGAAAAUCAAAUUUUCGAAUAGAAAUUCGUGACUGUCAGUCCAGUCGUAGAAACAAAAUAAUUAUAUAGUUGACUAAAAAAACAAAAAACAAAGCGACUGCAUAAAAUUGGACUGAAACCUCCCUGGUACAAACUUCAAAGAAAAUGUACGUAAUUGUAGACCAUGUAUUAAAAUGGAAUUUUAAUCAAUAAGUUAUAGAUUAAACUAAAAUUACUUGAUGCCAAAAUCCUAUUAAAAGGGAAAGUAUAAGACUAGACUUGAUAUUAGUGAUUGAAAAUAAAAAGCAUUCGAUUACAAGUUUUGACGUUCUAAAGUGUAGAAAUUCAUUCUGAAUUUUUAAUAAAGAUUUAUUUUUUGAAACUGAAGAGAUAAAAAUGAUCUAAACUUCAAGAUUGGGGCCCUUCAAUUUAUAUUACAGUGGAGUGAUACAGGGUGGCCGUUUUAGUCGAGGAAUAAAAUUCCCGAUCGUUACCAGGUUCGCAAGCAUUUUUCCUGAUCAUCGAAAUUUGAACUCAUGAAGCUGAAAAUUGUUUUAAUCGAAGUAGUCGAAACUGAAGUGAAAAUUAAGGCACUCAAUGUGGGACUCUUUGGAAUUUCAAACUUUUAAAAGAGACAAUUUAAAAGUUUCGGAUUCAGAAACUUUUUAGUUCAAACGCUCAAUAAUUAAAAAAUAUAAAAUGAAAGCUUUAAC
Long non-coding RNA from Belonocnema kinseyi, 1357 nucleotides. RefSeq lists it as uncharacterized. The record is from RefSeq and is a predicted model, not a curated record. The transcript is spliced from 3 exons. Lineage: Eukaryota; Metazoa; Arthropoda; Insecta; Hymenoptera; Cynipidae.